This 496-nucleotide ribosomal RNA is filed under the name uncultured bacterium. RNAcentral describes it as "partial 16S ribosomal RNA". It matches the Rfam family "Bacterial small subunit ribosomal RNA", at positions 28 to 507 of the family's 1533-position model. The record is from RNAcentral.
GAUGAACGCUGGCGGCGUGCCUAAUACAUGCAAGUCGAGCGAACGGACGAGAAGCUUGCUUCUCUGAUGUUAGCGGCGGACGGGUGAGUAACACGUGGAUAACCUACCUAUAAGACUGGGAUAACUUCGGGAAACCGUAGCUAAUACCGGAUAAUAUUUUGAACCGCAUGGUUCAAAAGUGAAAGACGGUCUUGCUGUCACUUAUAGAUGGAUCCGCGCUGCAUUAGCUAGUUGGUAAGGUAACGGCUUACCAAGGCAACGAUGCAUAGCGACCUGAGAGGGUGAUCGGCCACACUGGAACUGAGACACGGUCCAGACUCCUACGGGAGGCAGCAGUAGGGAAUCUUCCGCAAUGGGCGAAAGCCUGACGGAGCAACGCCGCGUGAGUGAUGAAGGUCUUCGGAUCGUAAAACUCUGUUAUUAGGGAAGAACAUAUGUGUAAGUAACUGUGCACAUCUUGACGGUACCUAAUCAGAAAGCCACGGCUAACUACGUG